This is a long non-coding RNA of Magnolia sinica, 1056 nucleotides long. RefSeq lists it as uncharacterized. The record is from RefSeq and is a predicted model, not a curated record. Lineage: Eukaryota; Viridiplantae; Streptophyta; Magnoliopsida; Magnoliales; Magnoliaceae. The transcript has 2 exons.
GAGAGUCACAUUACUGUAUAUCUGCCGCAGACUACUAAAUGAUUGUCAUCCUUUCCUUAUGCCAAAACGCCCUAACCCCUCAUUUCCACCGUCUCCCUCUCCUUCUCUCGAUCUCCUUCUCCCUCUCUCAAUCUCCGUUUCUUCCGAUCUCCCUCAUCCCGAUCUCAACCCUCUCUCGAUCUCCCUCUCACUCUCCCUCCCUCUCUCUCGAUCUCUCUCUCCCUGUUGGACUCUAGAUCUGCAACAUCCCCACACAUGGGAGAAGAGAUCGAGAGGAGACGACAGUCCCCACACAUGGGGUAUCUGAUAUUGUAGGAGCAGCAGCAUCAGCGCCGUAUGAGGUGUUUGAUCUAUCGUCAGACUGAAGGGAGGGAGUGAGUGGGUGCAGCAACAACAACAGCAUGAAGACGAUGGAAUCUGCCUGAUCUACCCUUCUCCUUCUCAUAUCUGUAUUUGCAAUUUGUUAGGGGUUUGAGAGAGCGAGAAAGACGAAGAAUACUGACGAAAUUCGAGACCGAGUAAUACGGUAGAGGGGCUGAGCUUUCACAGCAAGAGGCCAUGGAUCCCUUGCAAAGUGCCUUUUCAAUCCCUUGCACGGAUUGUUGUCUUAGAACUCCUCUUUCUCUUUUAUAAUUUGAUCUAAAAUGUUUAUAUCCAAGCAAUGAUGAUGUUAUCAUGUGCUUGUGUUCAUUGCAUUGAUAUGUGGCUGAUCAAGUAUAUGUUUUACUUUUCAUUUCCAAUUGUUUUUCAAAAAAAAAAACUUUUUCUGAUUUCUCUCAAAUUUAUACUCCCUUGAGCUUGAUUCAAGGUUCAGGAGGUCGAUCUGCUUGUUCCCUGGGCAUAAUAAGAAGGGUAGGUUCUAAGUGGUGAUAAAACCUGCUAACAUCUUUUGUGGAGUGGCUGAUCUAUCCUAGGAAAGUUAUGACACAAUGCUUGGGCAAAAAGGUUGUAAAGUACUGUCAGUGUUUGCAGUUUGUAUUGCUAGUGCCUAUACUAUGAUAAUUCAAUCAAUGGUACUCAAGCCCUGACUGUGGAUGCCCAUGCACGCACACACAA